AGGUGCAUAUCACCCAAGUGCGGGAGAAGAGGCAGCGGAUGAUGCACCCAUUGAAGAUGUUACUGUUGUUGAUGAACAACAACAGCCUACCCGAGAUGCUCCAUACCAGAAUAGUGAUGAUGACGACGUAUGUAAUGAUCUUUUCAACCGCGUUGAACGUUAUGGACGACGAAAUGCCACAAAUAUAUUCGGAAAAGACAGUCCUCGCUACAGUCGCAGCCAUUGUUGAUGAUGAUGACCGGGUACCAAGGUCGAUGCAUAACUCUGCUUUAAAGGGUAUAGACAAAGUGAACGAGUUAUUAGCAAAUACUAAUGAGGCUGUAAUGUUUAACAAGGUGCGUAUGGGACCACGUGCAUUUAGGAUUCUUUGUGAAAUACUAACAGAGAGAGGUUUGUUACAACCAACAAACAACAUGAACGUCCCAUAACAAGUAUUUGUCUUUUUAACCAUCAUUGCACAAAGUCAAACUAAUCGUGAGUCACAAGAUGUAUGGCAACAUUCGGGGGAGACAAUUUCAUGAAGAUUCAGUGACGUCCUAGGUGCAAUUUGUUCGUUGCACGAUGAUUUCAUUAAACCUCCCAACUAUGACAAACUUAGUGAAUUUGUACGUGGCAAUCGUCAUAGAUAUGGGACAUGGUUUAACGACUAUAUAGGCGCAAUUGACGGGACUCAUAUACCUUGUACACAGAUUGGUGUUCAAAAUCUGACAGCUUACCGCAAUAGGAAGGGGUUCAACUUUCUGAAUGUAAUGGCAGCAUGUUCCUUCAGUAUGAAGUUCACAUACAUAUUUAGUAGUUGGGAAGGUUCAGCACAUGAUGCACGAGUGCUUGCAGAUGCGGUGGCCGAACCCAAGUUCAAAUUCCCACAUCCACCGCCUGGAAAAUACUAUCUUGUUGACGCGGC
Long non-coding RNA from Morus notabilis, 904 nucleotides. RefSeq lists it as uncharacterized. The record is from RefSeq and is a predicted model, not a curated record. The transcript has 3 exons. Lineage: Eukaryota; Viridiplantae; Streptophyta; Magnoliopsida; Rosales; Moraceae.